Molecule: ribosomal RNA, 208 nt
Filed under: uncultured bacterium
Lineage: Bacteria
Description: partial 16S ribosomal RNA
Rfam family: Bacterial small subunit ribosomal RNA
Source: RNAcentral
CACGUAGGCGGAUCUUUAAGUCAGAGGUGAAAUCCCAAGGCUCAACCUUGGAACUGCCUUUGAUACUGGGGAUCUCGAGUCCGGGAGAGGUGAGUGGAACUGCGAGUGUAGAGGUGAAAUUCGUAGAUAUUCGCAAGAACACCAGUGGCGAAGGCGGCUCACUGGCCCGGAACUGACGCUGAGGUGCGAAAGCGUGGGGAGCAAAACA